This 443-nucleotide ribosomal RNA is filed under the name Acanthamoeba sp. MN-ISP79-T4. Its description in RNAcentral is "SSU rRNA". It matches the Rfam family "Eukaryotic small subunit ribosomal RNA", at positions 758 to 1096 of the family's 1831-position model. The record is from RNAcentral. RNAcentral also lists the same sequence under 1 other name. Lineage: Eukaryota; Discosea; Longamoebia; Acanthamoebidae.
CGGUUGAUGUGUCGUUUUCAAGCAGGCAGAUCCAUUUUUCUGCCACCGAAUACAUUAGCAUGGGAUAAUGGAAUAGGACCCUGUCCUCCUAUUUUCAGUUGGUUUUGGCAGCGCGAGGACUAGGGUAAUGAUUAAUAGGGAUAGUUGGGGGCAUUAAUAUUUAAUUGUCAGAGGUGAAAUUCUUGGAUUUAUGAAAGAUUAACUUCUGCGAAAGCAUCUGCCAAGGAUGUUUUCAUUAAUCAAGAACGAAAGUUAGGGGAUCGAAGACGAUCAGAUACCGUCGUAGUCUUAACCAUAAACGAUGCCGACCAGCGAUUAGGAGACGUUGAAUACAAAACACCACCAUCGGUUGCGGUCGUCCUUGGCGUCUCGGUUUCGGCCGGGGCGCGGGGACGGUUUAGCCCGGUGGCACCGGUGAAUGACUCCCUAGCAGCUUGUGAGAA